Molecule: long non-coding RNA, 1073 nt
Organism: Paralichthys olivaceus (Japanese flounder)
Lineage: Eukaryota; Metazoa; Chordata; Actinopteri; Pleuronectiformes; Paralichthyidae
Source: RefSeq, a predicted model, not a curated record
GUAACAAGCGAGGAGAGGAAAUGAGGAGUUGUGGGAGGAAAGAUGGAGGGAGGUGAGGGCUGCUGAGAGAGAGAGAGCGAGGAAGAGAGAGUGGGAGAGAGAGAGGUUGACAGCCUGGUGGAGAGGAGACAGAUGGGAGGAAAAGAGAAAACUGGAGACAUCCACCACUGAUUGCAUCAACAGGUCUGAGCCCCUCCAGUGUGUUUUCAACCCUGGAACAAAGGUGUCUGCGGCGGCGAGAUGAAAACUGCGACAACUGAUGAAGAUGACCUGUCAAACUCCACAAUCAGCGAAAAACAACGUGCAUAGACGGGUUUGAGGAGGAGCGGGGGGAGGAAGGGAGAGUGAAGAUGGAAAGACGACGUUUAGGAAGAAAAGGAGGGAGUUUACGCCCACCGACUGAAGAGAUGAGAAGACAGGCAGAGGAGGGGAGAACGUGUGGAGGAAGCAGGGAGUUGGUGCCAGAGCUCGUCAGCCUGUCAAGCAUCCGUUAUAGACCACAAACCCACACAGCCAUUGCACUGCUGAGGUCUAUCACUUGACAGGUGCACUUCCUUCACCUUCACACACAUUUGAAGACACAUCUCUUACACUCUAUAGACGUGUGUAGGUGGCCAAGUUUACGCACAUCAAAUUUGAGCCUUGUCCGCAGAGCACAAGCCCAACUCGGAUGCUUAGUCUCCGUGCAGCAGAAGGCGAUCCACUGUGAGUCACUGUCAUUGAUCAGAAAAUAAAACCAGUCAGGUAGAUUCCUCAUAACUGAUGCUUCCUUCACCCCUUCUCCCGGGCUACUAACUGUUUUAGCUCUGCGCUGGCACAAUCUGAAUGCGCGCACUCAGCCCAACCCACGUUUGCACCCAUAUUACUCCUCUCUGUGCUCAUAGUUUUGUAAUUCUGACUGCUGACGCACUGCAUCUAAAUUCACCCUCCACUUUCCCUGGGGAGUUACAUCAGGGCUUUGUGCACUUUUUGUUUUUCUGUGUUUUUUUUCCUUAGGUACCUGCACACGUACAGUGGCAAGAAUAUAUACAUGAAGCCUUUGGAAUCACUUGUUUUUCUGCAUUAAUUGUUCA